GUGAGUCAUCGAAUCUUUGAACGCACCUUGCGCUCUCUGGUAUUCCGGAGAGCAUGCCUGUUUGAGUGUCAUGAACUCUUCAACCCACCGGUUCCUUGUUGAACCGAGUUGGUGUUUGGUUUUUGAGCGUUUUUGCUUUGUUUUCGGAUCACAGCUCGUCUCGUAAUACAUUAGCAUCUCGAUUUCGAAAUUUCGGAUUGACUUCAGCGUUAAUAGAUCUAUUCGCUGAGGACACCUUUAUCGGGUGGCCGAAAUUAUGAUAACAGGUAGACGCUUCCAAUCCUACUAGUCAAUUUUAUGAUUAGACCUCAGAUUCAGGCAGGAUUACCCGCUGAACUUAAGCAUAUCAAUAAGGCGAGG
This 360-nucleotide ribosomal RNA is filed under the name uncultured fungus. Its description in RNAcentral is "eukaryotic LSU rRNA". The stretch from base 1 to 71 matches the Rfam family "5.8S ribosomal RNA", at positions 84 to 154 of the family's 154-position model. Lineage: Eukaryota; Fungi. The record is from RNAcentral.